AACGAACGCUGGCGGCAUGCCUAACACAUGCAAGUCGAACGAGACCUUCGGGUCUAGUGGCGCACGGGUGCGUAACGCGUGGGAACCUGCCCUUAGGUUCGGAAUAACUCCCCGAAAGGGGUGCUAAUACCGGAUAAUGUCUUCGGACCAAAGAUUUAUCGCCUUUGGAUGGGCCCGCGUUGGAUUAGCUAGUUGGUAGGGUAAAAGCCUACCAAGGCGACGAUCCAUAGCUGGUCUGAGAGGAUGAUCAGCCACACUGGGACUGAGACACGGCCCAGACUCCUACGGGAGGGAGCCGGUGGGGAUAUUGGAAAAUGGGCGAAAGGCUGAUCCAGCAAUGGCGCGUGAGUGAUGAAGGCCUUAGGGUUGUAAAGCUCUUUUACCCGGGAAGAUAAUGACAGUACCGGGAGAAUAAGCUCCGGCUAACUCCGUG
This 433-nucleotide ribosomal RNA is filed under the name uncultured bacterium. RNAcentral describes it as "partial 16S ribosomal RNA". It matches the Rfam family "Bacterial small subunit ribosomal RNA", at positions 29 to 507 of the family's 1533-position model. The record is from RNAcentral.